This 429-nucleotide ribosomal RNA is filed under the name bacterium. Its description in RNAcentral is "partial 16S ribosomal RNA". It matches the Rfam family "Bacterial small subunit ribosomal RNA", at positions 355 to 776 of the family's 1533-position model. The record is from RNAcentral.
UAGGGUAUCUUCGGCAAUGGGGGCAACCCUGACCGAGCAACGCCGCGUGAGUGAAGAAGGUUUUCGGAUCGUAAAGCUCUGUUGUAAGAGAAGAACGUGUGUGAGAGUGGAAAGUUCACACAGUGACGGUAACUUACCAGAAAGGGACGGCUAACUACGUGCCAGCAGCCGCGGUAAUACGUAGGUCCCGAGCGUUGUCCGGAUUUAUUGGGCGUAAAGCGAGCGCAGGCGGUUUAAUAAGUCUGAAGUUAAAGGCAGUGGCUUAACCAUUGUUCGCUUUGGAAACUGUAAACCUUGAGUGCAGAAGGGGAGAGUGGAAUUCAAUGUGUAGCGGUGAAAUGCGUAGAUAUAUGGAGGAACACCAGUGGCGAAAGCGGCUCUCUGGUCUGUAACUGACGCUGAGGCUCGAAAGCGUGGGGAGCAAACAGG